AUUCUAUUUUUUCCUUAGAGAAAUUUCUCUCCAGUUAGGAACACCAUGCUAAUUGCCUAAUAUUGAGAAUCUUUCAUCACUGACUAGUAACAUUCAUUGCUGGACUUGGUUGAUGUGUGAAGCUGUUGACCAUGGUUUAAGGAUGGAUAUCCAGGUGGAGUUUUGUCCUCUUCUUGCCAGGGUUCAAGGAUAUCUCAUUCAGCAUCUAAAUGAAGAUAAAACAUCAUUCAGAACUGAUUUGGAAGACUCAGUGGACAAGUUCACAACCUACAUGACACAAUGCAUAGCUGAGGAACAUCCCAAUGAGGCCUCCCUGCAAAGCCUUCACAACCUGCUGCUGGCCUCGUCGGGCAUCGCACCGCUGAGCGCGACCAGCCAGCACGUGCAGUCGGCGCUAGCCAAGCUGGGCGGCGCGGCCGUG
Long non-coding RNA from Pollicipes pollicipes, 421 nucleotides. RefSeq lists it as uncharacterized. The record is from RefSeq and is a predicted model, not a curated record. NCBI's taxonomy places the organism in Eukaryota, Metazoa, Arthropoda, Thecostraca, Pollicipedomorpha, Pollicipedidae. The transcript is spliced from 3 exons.